UCAUCACCAAAAUCCAGCCGUCUACAAAUACCCAGCACUGCCACUACCACCCUUCCCCAGCUCUUCGUCUUGUCUCCCUGGCUUCCCUCAUCAUCCUUGUGUUUCCUUCUCCCUGGUCAUCUCCCAAGGCUGCUGGUCUCCACCCUCGUCCACAGUAGCAUCUUGAUCAUCCCCAUCUUCAAAAAAUUAUUUUCUAAUCCACUACUUUCCUACCCCUUGUGGUUGUCUUUACCUAGUUCACUAGUUCAGAAGCCCCACUCAACACAAAUGACAGAAAAUGAGGAGCUGUCCUGAAGGUAACCUGAGCCUGAUAGGUCGGUAUUUGGCAUCCUCUGUUAUGAAUGGCGGUUAGAUCAGCCCCUGAGGCACUGUCAGACUUGCAGUAAUUG
Xiphias gladius (swordfish) is the source of this 389-nucleotide long non-coding RNA. RefSeq lists it as uncharacterized. Lineage: Eukaryota; Metazoa; Chordata; Actinopteri; Istiophoriformes; Xiphiidae. The record is from RefSeq and is a predicted model, not a curated record. The transcript has 3 exons.